Molecule: ribosomal RNA, 305 nt
Filed under: uncultured bacterium
Lineage: Bacteria
Description: bacterial SSU rRNA
Rfam family: Bacterial small subunit ribosomal RNA
Source: RNAcentral
UUUGCCCUACGGGGCGCAGCAGUGGGGAAUAUUGGACAAUGGGGGGAACCCUGAUCCAGCGACGCCGCGUGAGUGAAGAAGUAUUUCGGUAUGUAAAGCUCUAUCAGCAGGGAAGAAAGAAAUGACGGUACCUGACUAAGAAGCCCCGGCUAACUACGUGCCAGCAGCCGCGGUAAUACGUAGGGGGCGAGCGUUAUCCGGAUUCACUGGGUGUAAAGGGAGCGUAGACGGCCAAGCAAGCCAGGGGUGAAAGCCCGGGGCCCAAUCCCGGGACUGCCCUUGGAACUGCAUGGCUGGAGUGCGGG